AGAGCGAACGCUGGCGGCAGGCUUAACACAUGCAAGUCGAGCGGAUGUAGCAAUACAUCAGCGGCAGACGGGAUAGUAACACGUGGGAACGCGCCCUUUGGUUCGGAAUAACUCAGGGAAACUUGAGCUAAUACCGGAUAAGCCCUUACGGGGAAAGAUUUAUCGCCAAAGGAACGGCCCGCGUCCGAUUAGCUAGUUGGUGAGGUAAUGGCUCACCAAGGCGACGAUCGGUAGCUGGUCUGAGAGGAUGACCAGCAUCACUGGGACUGAGACACGGCCCAGACUCCUACGGGAGGCAGCAGUGGGAAUAUUGGACAAUGGGCGCAAGCCUGAUCCAGCCAUGCCGCGUGGAUGAUGAAGGCCCUAGGGUUGUAAAGUCCUUUUAACGGGGAGAUAAUGACGGUACCCGUAGAAUAAGCCCCGGCUAACUUCGUGCCAGCAGCCGC
This 446-nucleotide ribosomal RNA is filed under the name uncultured bacterium. RNAcentral describes it as "SSU rRNA". It matches the Rfam family "Bacterial small subunit ribosomal RNA", at positions 26 to 518 of the family's 1533-position model. The record is from RNAcentral.